UCCUGACUGACCGAUAGUGAACCAGUACCGUGAGGGAAAGGCGAAAAGAACCCCGGCGAGGGGAGUGAAAAAGAACCUGAAACCGUGUACGUACAAGCAGUGGGAGCACGCUUAGGCGUGUGACUGCGUACCUUUUGUAUAAUGGGUCAGCGACUUAUAUUCUGUAGCAAGGUUAACCGAAUAGGGGAGCCGAAGGGAAACCGAGUCUUAACUGGGCGUUAAGUUGCAGGGUAUAGACCCGAAACCCGGUGAUCUAGCCAUGGGCAGGUUGAAGGUUGGGUAACACUAACUGGAGGACCGAACCGACUAAUGUUGAAAAAUUAGCGGAUGACUUGUGGCUGGGGGUGAAAGGCCAAUCAAACCGGGAGAUAGCUGGUUCUCCCCGAAAGCUAUUUAGGUAGCGCCUCGUGAAUUCAUCUCCGGGGGUAGAGCACUGUUUCGGCAAGGGGGUCAUCCCGACUUACCAACCCGAUGCAAACUGCGAAUACCGGAGAAUGUUAUCACAGGAGACACACGGCGGGUGCUAACGUCCGUCGUGAAGAGGGAAACAACCCAGACCGCCAGCUAAGGUCCCAAAGUCAUGGUUAAGUGGGAAACGAUGUG
This 603-nucleotide ribosomal RNA is filed under the name Shigella sonnei. RNAcentral describes it as "partial 23S ribosomal RNA". It matches the Rfam family "Bacterial large subunit ribosomal RNA", at positions 474 to 1077 of the family's 2925-position model. Lineage: Bacteria; Pseudomonadati; Pseudomonadota; Gammaproteobacteria; Enterobacterales; Enterobacteriaceae. The record is from RNAcentral.